Molecule: ribosomal RNA, 679 nt
Filed under: uncultured bacterium
Lineage: Bacteria
Description: bacterial SSU rRNA
Rfam family: Bacterial small subunit ribosomal RNA
Source: RNAcentral
GAAAUGACUGCUAAUACCGCAUAUGCCAUAAUAAUCACAUGAUUAAAGUGGGAAAGGAGCAAUCCGCUUAUAGAUGGGCUUACGCCUGAUUAGCUAGUUGGUGAGGUAACGGCCUACCAAGGCGACGAUCAGUAGCCGAACUGAGAGGUUAAACGGCCACAUUGGGACUGAGAUACGGCCCAGACUCCUACGGGAGGCAGCAGUCGGGAAUAUUGCGCAAUGGAGGAAACUCUGACGCAGUGACGCCGCGUGCAGGAAGAAGGUUUUCGGAUUGUAAACUGCUUUAGACAGGGAAGAUAAAAGACAGUACCUGUAGAAUAAGCUCCGGCUAACUACGUGCCAGCAGCCGCGGUAAUACGUAGGGAGCAAGCGUUAUCCGGAUUUAUUGGGUGUAAAGGGUGCGUAGACGGGAAAUUAAGUUAGUUGUGAAAUCCCAUGGCUCAACUGUGGAACUGCAACUAAAACUGAUUUUCUUGAGUACUGGAGAGGAAAGUGGAAUUCCUAGUGUAGCGGUGAAAUGCGUAGAUAUUAGGAGGAACACCAGUGGCGAAGGCGACUUUCUGGACAGAAACUGACGUUGAGGCACGAAAGUGUGGGGAGCAAACAGGAUUAGAUACCCUGGUAGUCCACACCGUAAACGAUGGAUACUAGGUGUAGGGUGUGAUGAACAUUCUGUGCC